UACGUAGGGUGCGAGCGUUAAUCGGAAUUACUGGGCGUAAAGUGUGCGCAGGCGGCCGAGCAAGUCGAGUGUGAAAGCCCCCGAGCUUAACUUGGGAACUGCGCUCGAAACUACUUGGCUGGAGUGUGGCAGAGGAAGGUGGAAUUCCACGUGUAGCAGUGAAAUGCGUAGAUAUGCGGAGGAACACCGAUGGCGAAGGCAAUCCCCUGGGCCUGCACUGACGCUCAUGCACGAAAGCGUGGGGAGCAAACAGG
Molecule: ribosomal RNA, 254 nt
Filed under: uncultured bacterium
Lineage: Bacteria
Description: partial 16S ribosomal RNA
Rfam family: Bacterial small subunit ribosomal RNA
Source: RNAcentral